GCCGGUGUAGCUCAGUGGCAGAGCUCCUGAUUUGUAAUCAGGGGGUCGUCGGUUCGAAUCCGACCGCCGGCU
Molecule: transfer RNA, 72 nt
Filed under: Verrucomicrobia bacterium A1
Lineage: Bacteria; Pseudomonadati; Verrucomicrobiota
Description: tRNA-Thr
Rfam family: tRNA
About the family: Transfer RNA (tRNA) molecules are approximately 80 nucleotides in length. Their secondary structure includes four short double-helical elements and three loops (D, anti-codon, and T loops).
Source: RNAcentral